GACGACAAGCUCGCCAAGUUUGCGCUCCUCGACCCCAAGCCAUCAAUAGGUGAGCAAGUGCUAUCCGCGAACAGCUUUCGCGCGCUGUGACUUGUGCCGGCUCCGGCGGUAAACAAGACAGACAAGGAGCAAAGGAGGCGUUCAGUUUCUCAGGCACUUGCUGCCUCUGCUCCAUCUGUUCAGGUAACCUGUCUUUAUCUUCUUCUAUUUAUAUUUUUUGACCAAGCAAAUCUUUUUUACCUGCUAGCGGAACUAGGUGUGAUCUCACUGGCAUGGUCUAUGAAGAGAGAUUUCAGCUCUGAACAUCUCCUUUUUCCCUUUAUUUCAAAUAUGUGAAUGUGAUAGACUUCUUUUAUACAUACAUAUUCAGUGUUGACUAGCAGAAUUUUGUGGGGAGGUGGUUAUAAUUUUGUGCAAAUUCUUAGAUCCUCGAUUACUCAUUCUUUGUAAAUGUGCCAUCAUUUCCAAUUAUUAGUUGAAUCUUUUUGUUAUGUAUAUUCUCAUGUUCACAUUUUUCUGUUAACCAUUAGCAGCAAAGAACUUCAAAUAAGUCCGAUACCGAGCAUUUGAAGUACCUUGAAGUGCUUGAG
RNAcentral lists this long non-coding RNA (590 nucleotides) under Zea mays. Its description in RNAcentral is "long non-coding RNA (ZMAY_LNC001871)". Lineage: Eukaryota; Viridiplantae; Streptophyta; Magnoliopsida; Poales; Poaceae. The record is from RNAcentral.